ACGUAGGGGGCAAGCGUUGCUCGGAAUUACUGGGCGUAAAGGGUGUGUAGGUGGCUGAUUAAGUUAAGGAUGAAAUCCCGAGACUCAACUUCGGAACUGUCCUUGAUACUGGUCAGCUUGAGGCUAGUAAAGGAGAGCGGAAUUCCCGGUGAGGCGGUUAAAUAGGUAGAUAUCUGAAGGAAGACCAGAAGGGUAGGCGAUUCACCAGGAUAGGCCCGACUCUGAUACAUGAAAGCUAUGGGAUCAAACAG
Molecule: ribosomal RNA, 251 nt
Filed under: uncultured prokaryote
Description: partial 16S rRNA
Rfam family: Bacterial small subunit ribosomal RNA
Source: RNAcentral